Molecule: RNA transcript, 3941 nt
Organism: Toxorhynchites rutilus septentrionalis
Lineage: Eukaryota; Metazoa; Arthropoda; Insecta; Diptera; Culicidae
Gene: KaiR1D
Gene name: glutamate receptor ionotropic, kainate 2
Exons: 18
Source: RefSeq, a predicted model, not a curated record
GGUCGCGGUAAGAGAUUCGCUUUUGGGGAACCAUAUCUCGUCGGCUGGUCCCGGUCCUUACCAUCCACCGAGCGCCAUUUUUCCGGGGGAUAGACACAGUGCCACUGCCUGGGCGUACUUGUGUUCGUGGUUCUGGACCGUUUCGGGUUGCGAGUGUUGGUGGAAGAGUGCUUUUGGUUCUGAUUUUUUCUCACUCUGUCGUUGUUGCUCUGUCGGAUGAACAGAUCUUCACGGGUAAAAAGUGGCAAAGUGUCAAAAGUUCGUAUGAUUUUUCACUCCUCCUGACGAUUUUUGGUGAGGGGGACUCGGGAAUCGGAUUCUGGCUCGCGAAAAUUACGGAAUCCUGACACAGGAAGUGAAGAUUUUGAAGCAGACGUUCGGUGCUGCUAUCGUUGCGGAUGUUGGAAGGAAAAAAACCAUGUAGUGAAAGUGUGUCGAGAUUUUGGGGCCCCCAGAGUGAAGUGCUAGAGGAAAAAGGGAAAAGCGAGCAAAAGUGUGUCUCGCGGGUGUGUUUGUGUCCUGUUUAGGUAAACAUUUCAUCAGAUCCGGCAGAGGAAACCGAAUCAUGAGGCAGUUUUCUUCAUUGCUGGGACUCCUGGCAUUCGGUUGGAUCUCGCUGUUACCGGAGCCAAGUAGAGCCCUGCCCGAUAUUAUACGUAUCGGCGGGCUCUUCCAUCCCGAUGAUGAUCAUCAGGAGAUCGCGUUCCGGUACGCGGUAGAGAAAAUCAACUCCGACCGAACGAUCCUGCCUCGGUCCAAGCUGUUGGCCCAGAUCGAGCGGAUAUCGCCCCAGGAUAGCUUCCUGGCGUCCAAGCGGGUGUGCCAUUUGCUACGCGUCGGAGUGGCAGCUAUUUUUGGGCCACAAUCGUCACACACCGCAAGCCACGUGCAAAGCAUUUGCGAUACGAUGGAGAUCCCACACCUGGAAACGCGCUGGGAUUAUCGGCUUCGACGCGAAAGCUGUCUGGUGAAUUUAUACCCACAUCCGAGCACACUGUCGAAGGCUUACGUGGACCUGGUGGCCGCCUGGGGCUGGAAGUCGUUCACCAUCAUCUACGAAACGAACGAGGGCCUGGUGCGGAUGCAGGAGCUACUCAAAGCCCACGGGCUGUCCGAGUAUCCCAUCACCGUUCGGCAGCUGAGCGAUUCCGGCGAUUAUCGUCCCCUGCUGAAACAGAUCAAGAACUCGGCCGAAUCGCACAUCGUUCUCGAUUGCACCACGGAGAAAAUCUACGAGGUGCUGAAGCAGGCCCAGCAGAUCGGCAUGAUGAGUGACUACCACAGCUAUCUGAUAACGUCGCUGGACCUCCACACCAUCAACCUGGACGAGUUUAAGUACGGUGGCACAAACAUCACCGCCUUCCGACUGGUGGACCCGGAGAACCCCGAAGUGGCCCAGGCCAUCCACAACUGGACGCUGGGCGAGGCGCGUCUCGGGAAGAAAAUUGAUUUCCGAACAACGGAGAACGUGACUGUCAUCAAGGCCGAAACAGCACUGAUGUACGACGCCGUCCACCUGUUUGCAAAAGCGUUGCACGACCUGGACACCAGUCAGCAGAUUGACAUCCAUCCGCUGUCCUGUGACGCCCAGGACACCUGGCCCCACGGCUACAGUUUAAUAAAUUACAUGAAAAUCGUGGAAAUGCGUGGGCUCACGGACGUCAUCAAAUUUGACCACCAGGGCUUUCGCAGUGACUUCGUGCUCGAUAUUGUGGAACUGGGACCGCAGGGGCUGCGCAAGAGUGGCACCUGGAAUUCCACCUCGGGGGUGAACUUCACCCGCACCUAUGGCGAACAGCAGAAGGAGAUCGUGGAGAUCCUGCAGAACAAGACGCUGAUAGUGACGACGAUUCUCAGCUCUCCCUACUGCAUGCGGAAGGACUCGGCCGAGAAGCUGACGGGGAACUCGCAGUUCGAGGGGUACGCAAUCGAUUUGAUACACGAGAUCUCGAAGAUACUGGGCUUCAACUACUCGAUCCGGCUCGCGCCGGAUGGGAGAUAUGGAAGCUACAAUAAGGAGACUGGCGAAUGGGACGGCAUGAUCAAGGAGCUGCUGGAGCAGCGGGCCGACCUGGCCAUCGCCGAUCUCACCAUCACCUUCGACCGGGAGCAGGUGGUCGACUUCACGAUGCCUUUCAUGAAUCUGGGCAUAUCCGUCCUCUACCGGAAGCCGGUCAAACAGCCCCCGAAUCUGUUCUCCUUCCUGUCGCCACUCUCGCUCGAUGUGUGGAUCUACAUGGCGACGGCUUAUCUCGGCGUGUCCGUCCUGCUGUUCAUCCUAGCGCGCUUCACUCCGUACGAGUGGGAGAAUCCUCAUCCCUGUAAUUCGGAUCCACUCUUCCUGGAGAACAGCUUCACGCUGCUGAACUCGCUCUGGUUUACGAUCGGUUCGCUGAUGCAGCAGGGCUGCGAUAUUGCCCCCAAGGCCGUCUCGACGCGAAUGGUCGCCGGGAUGUGGUGGUUCUUCACGCUGAUCAUGAUCAGCUCGUACACCGCCAACCUGGCCGCGUUUCUCACCGUCGAGCGGAUGGACUCACCGAUCGAGAGCGCCGAGGAUCUGGCGAAGCAAACCAAGAUCAAGUACGGAGCGCUGCGAGGCGGCAGCACGGCUGCGUUCUUCAGGGAUUCCAAUUUUUCCACCUACCAGAGAAUGUGGUCCUUCAUGGAGUCUACCCGGCCGACAGUGUUCACGGCCAGCAACAUCGAGGGAGUCGAAAGGGUCGUCAAGGGGAAGGGUAGCUACGCCUUCCUGAUGGAGUCCACCUCGAUCGAGUACGUGAUCGAGCGGAACUGUGAACUGACGCAGGUUGGAGGGAUGCUGGAUUCGAAGGGCUAUGGGAUCGCGAUGCCUCCGAAUUCACCGUUUCGCACUGCCAUUAGCGGAGCCGUCCUGAAGCUGCAGGAGGAGGGUAAGCUGCACAUUCUGAAAACACGCUGGUGGAAGGAGAAACGAGGCGGAGGGUCCUGUAGGGACGAAACGUCGAAAUCAAGCUCCACGGCGAACGAACUGGGCCUAGCCAACGUGGGCGGUGUCUUCGUGGUACUAAUGGGUGGAAUGGGGGUGGCCUGCGUGAUCGCCGUGUGCGAAUUCGUUUGGAAAUCUCGGAAAGUGGCCGUCGAGGAACGGGAACCCUACCAGAAAAAACAUCCCAAAGAGUGUAGAUUCGAGUGAGGGUUGCAAUGCGCGACCUAAUGUUAGCGCUUUUGUUCGCCGAAUCUUGGCUUGUCAUCGCCGAAACCGAACCGUUUCAGGACCAAAGAUCAUUGCUAGUAGAAAACCACAAGAUUUGGCGCAUCAUUCGAAACUACUGAUGGGUUGUGUAUUUCGACCGACGCUCUCAUCUCAUGAGUUAUUUUUUAAUUGUAGAUUCAGGGAAAGUACCGACAGCUUUUAGGGCAAUUAGCAAAACCUUGUAAAUAGAGAGUGGAGGAACAGAACAUUACUUCAAUUCAGCAGAUAACUCGUAAAUUUUUACCCUCAUCGGAACCCGUCUCUAAAUGUAUUGGAAGCUAGUUCAUUUCGUACCAAGAGAAAACCAUGCUCAUGUGACAAAGCGACGGCUGUAUUAGAUACCGAACGAAACACACGCGAAUAUGCUCAAAUUAGAACCCAAAAAACCAUCCUCUCCUUCUCCCUAAACACGAAAUCCAAAAUGUAUUGUGUGGCGAUUUUUCUUCUCUUCAAUCCUACCAAUAUAAACCAACCUUACACGUACACACAACAAUGACAACAAUGAUUCAACUCUUAAAUCGUCGUGGGAAUCCGUCCCGGACUCGAUUGAUCCACGCGGAUUGCAGGAGAUCUCACUCUGCUCGGAGAUGGCUUCGGAGCUUCGUUCGGCUCUGAAACGCAACCGCUCAAAAUCCGCUAGCCAUAAUACCACCGUUCGUACGUCCAGUUCCCGCGCAUCGCCCAAGGAUUCGGAACCAUCGUCCGAGCA